GAUCUCCUGUAUUCUUUACAUUUGGAGGAAUCAACCAUGAAGGAGUUGGCCACGGUGUCAGCAUGUGAAGGCAGAGGAACUCCAGCUCAGAGAGAGGCUUCCCUGGAUCCACUUGCCUCAACGACCCUCUGAUGGAAUCCAGGCCUUACUCAGAAAGCACCCUGCGCUGGCAUUUCAUAAGUAAACAGAAGAAAUGUCCUACUUGCAAAACUCUGAAUAUAGCUGAAUCCCUCAAGGGCAUAGAGGUUUAAGCAUACAGAAGUCAAAGGCAACCUUUUUGUUCUGUGAAGGUGCUGCCAUUAGGCAGCUGAGGACCAGCUGUGGGACCAACAGUCUUGGGUUGGAGCCUUUUUGAGAUAAAGGAAAGACAAUACCUUGGACUUAAAUAAGCAAUUCUGCUUUCCAAGUGUUGGUAGGCAGAACAAUGAUCCCCCCAGAAUAUUCACAUUUUGACUCCUGGACUUGUGAAAAUGUUAUGUUAAAUGGCCAAUGGAAGAAAAGUUACAUAUGAAAUUAAGGUUCCUAAUUAACUGACUUUAAGGUAAGAAUAUUAUGCCUGAUUUACCUGUGGGCCCAAUGUAACUGCAAGGGCCCUUAAACAAGGAAGAGGGAAGCAGAAGUGCCAGAACCAGAGGGAUAGCAUCAUGAGAAGGAUUUAACUGGCCAUUGCUGGCUUUGAAGAUGUAAGAGGGUCAAGAGACAAGAAAUGUGAGUGACCUCUAGAAGCUGGAAAAGGCAAGUAAAUGGAUUCUCUCCGAGUGUCUGCAGAAAGAAAAGCAGCCUUUUCAUCAACUUGAUUGUCACUCUGUGAGACUGAUUUUGGACUUCUGACUUCCAGGACCCUAAGAUAACAAAUUUGUGUUGUUUUUAGAACAAAGUUCCUGGUAAUUUGUUACAUCAAUAAUAAGAAAUGGACACAUCAAGAAAAUUUAAAAAGGAGAAAAGAACAAAUAAAAAGAGUAACAUAAAGACUAGAUGAGCACAGGGAACUCGCAUGUGUGCACAUUCCACAAAAGAAGCUAUAACGUGAUUACAGAAAGGAAGUCAUAAUAAACAAAUAAAUGUAUAUUGGAAAUAUGGAAAGGAAUACAGAGAACAAUGCAAUAUAAGGACAGACAAAGGCAUCCAGCUAUGAUUUUUCUCUCUUUAGCAGUUUGAAAGACAGAAAAUAUUCUUUUCUUUUUUUCGGUUCUGCAGUUCUGAAUUUUGAAAACUUUGCAAAAAAUUAAGCAUUCAAUUCAAAUGCCAAAUAAGAAAACUUUUAGUGCAAAUUCAAAGAAAAAUAAAAAUAGGUAUCUCAUAGUUUCAACAUAUGUUCAAAUCUUUCAAAUUUGAGCGAGAUAGGCAAGGUGCUUUAGGUUCCUUCGCUUCUCUCACUUCAAGCUAUUUGUUAGUUAGAAUGUUUGAUUUUCUGAUCCUCUGCCCAGAAAAAUGUAUUGCCAGUGGAAAGUAUUGUCAAUAAACAACCAUAGAAUUCUGCUUUAAAUCGUUCUGAUGCUUAUAAGAAAAGACACGAAUUCAUUUUGCAGACAUGCUUUUUCUGUUCACAAUUGCAAUUGAAAAUUGCAGUGAGCUACUUAAAAGCAGAACCGUUGAAUGGAACUUGUCUUAUAACAGAACCAGUUUUAAAUGGACAAUUGUAUACCUUAGAGCUGUCACCAGCCUUUAGCCUUGUACACAGCAUACAUGUAAUCAGUUGCCAUCAUACAUUGAAGAUAGUUAAGAAUAGAGUUACUGAGCAUCUAUUGUCAUCACAAAAAUGUGAAAGCUACUAAGGCAAAUAUGUGAAUAUAAACACAAUCCCUGGCCUCAAGGUAUUUAAAGUAAAAUUGUUCUAACUACAAUAAAAUUCAG
Molecule: long non-coding RNA, 1854 nt
Filed under: Homo sapiens (human)
Lineage: Eukaryota; Metazoa; Chordata; Mammalia; Primates; Hominidae
Description: HSALNT0127976
Source: RNAcentral